UACGUAGGGGGCAAGCGUUGUCCGGAUUUAUUGGGCGUAAAGCGCGUGUAGGCGGUCCGGUAAGUCCGCUGUGAAAGUCGGGGGCUCAACCCUCGAAUGCCGGUGGAUACUGUCGGGCUAGAGUGCGGAAGAGGCGAGUGGAAUUCCUGGUGUAGCGGUGAAAUGCGCAGAUAUCAGGAGGAACACCAAUUGCGAAGGCAGCUCGCUGGGACGUAACUGACGCUGAGACGCGAAAGCGUGGGGAGCAAACAGG
RNAcentral lists this ribosomal RNA (253 nucleotides) under uncultured bacterium. RNAcentral's name for it is "partial 16S ribosomal RNA". It matches the Rfam family "Bacterial small subunit ribosomal RNA", at positions 524 to 776 of the family's 1533-position model. The record is from RNAcentral.